Molecule: long non-coding RNA, 2873 nt
Organism: Hemicordylus capensis (graceful crag lizard)
Lineage: Eukaryota; Metazoa; Chordata; Lepidosauria; Squamata; Cordylidae
Exons: 2
Source: RefSeq, a predicted model, not a curated record
GCAUACUCAAGGCAUGUGCUCUACCCGUCUCUCCCGAGGAGCGCGCAGUGGCUGGAAGUGGGCCUCUACACACCACCCAGAGAAAGCACAGGCAAGCAAACAACACGGGCGGGCAGCGACCGCACAGAGCUCGCUCUCGCGCCCUUCGAGUGGCACGGCCGUAAGCCACAGCGCUGGCCAUAACAGCUGGAGGAGGGGGAAAGCCCUGCCUGAAAUCCUGGAGACCAGUCACUGUCGACACUGCUGAGCGAGAUGGACCAAUGACCUGACUCAGGAUAAGGCGUACCCGUCGCUAAUCCUAUGUGUGGCAGCUCUCGCGAGAGAGCUGCGGAUUAGGGACGAGGAGAAGCGGGUGCGGAGGAGAAGCGGCAGCUGCCAGAACGGACAGCUGUUCAGGGGAAGCAGCGGCUGCCAGGAUGGCUAGCUGUGCAGGGGAAGUGGCCACCACCAGGACGGCAGACGGCUGGCCAAGGAGAAGUGGCCACCACCAGGACAGCAGAUGGCCAGCCAAGGAGAAGUGGCAGCCGGCGGCUGAGGAAAAGCAGCCUGGCCGCUGACGGAGAACGGGCAGGAGGGAGAGAACGAAAUGGGACUGGAGGGGAGGGGAGAAAGAAUUGAAGAUGUGGGAGGAGAUACAGGGAAAACUAGGGGUGCAGAUGCUCUGCGCCAGGUCAGCUAGUCUUCCUAUACUCCUGCUGCAUGCUAUAGGUUUUCCCCAUUGUCUGGGAAACAUAUCAAUGGGGAUUCAGACCAGAAACUUCUGGCUUGAUAAUGAAAUCAUUUCCCCACUGCACCAUUAGGUGAUAUGGUUUCCCUAAAGUAAAGUGUGCCAUCAAGUCGAUUUCAACUCCUGGUGCCCACAGAGCCCUGUGGUUGUCUUUGGUAGAAUACAGGAGGGGUUUACCAUUGCCUUCUUCCACACUGUAUGCGGUGAUACCUUUCAGCAUCUUCCUAUAUCGCUGCUGCCCGAUAUAAUACCAGCGGGGAUUCAAACUGGCAACCUUCUGAGUGUUAGUCAAGCAUUUUCCCGCUGCGCCACUUAAGGUGACCCUCCAUUAAAACGUCUAAGGCAGUAGCCACUGACCCCUUUUGUGCAGCAGGUCCCCUAAAUUAAUGGUUAAUAAGUAUUUUUUGCUGUUUCUCCUUAAAGUUACUGUCCAUCAAUUCCAUUGGGUGACCCUGGAUGCUAGUAUUGGGGUGCGGGUGGGGUGUCCAACAUUAGUGCCCAUCUUUCUUCCAAAUUCCUAAUAUGGUCCUUAUUGUUUGUGUGUGGUUUUUUAAUGAGAGAAGUCCAGGGCUUAUCCAAAAUUUACCCUCACAAACUUUUAAACCCUUCCCAAAUAUGUUGCUGGUUUGAUAAGAGAUAGAGCUCUUAGCACUUGCUCAGAGGCACUUCAUAUGUUCCAGGGCUGAGAUCUUAUGCUGAGAACAGAUUCUGGGAGCUAGGCCUUGGUAAUCCCUGCCCCAUUCGCAACACUAUAAUAAUUACAUAAAAGCUGGUGACAAAUUUCACUCUCUAAUGAAUACUUAGAUAAAUGCUUAGUAUUGAGUGUUCAAAACAUGUAUUACCUUGUAAUCCUUACAAUAUAUGUAAAAAAUAACCCUGUAAACUAAGUAGUAUUAUCCCCACAUCACAGAUGAGGGCUGAGGCUGAAAGGGAUUGGCUUGUCUAAGGUUGCCUAUUGAGUUCAUGGCAGAGACAAGAUUCAAACCAGGGACUUUAAUCCAUAGUUCAUUCUCUUAGCUGUUAUACCAGCUCUCUGACAAAGCAACAGAACUCAGAAUGGGGCUAUGCAAAUAAGAACAGUCUUGAUUCUCCAUGGCUGCAAUCAUCAGAAGCAGGGAGCAGGUUUUAGCAUCCUUUCCAGUGGUGUCCCCAAGUGCAUCCUCAUACAAGUGAGUAUUUGUCUCUCAGCUCUUCCUCCUUUGGGGAAAAACAUAAAUUAAAAGCUAGACUGAUACACUCUGCCUUGCUUCCGAGUUGACUUGAUAUACUCAUACUGUAUCUGUUUUGCUGACAAGUUGCUAAGGUGAGAAGAACAUUUGCUUGGGAUCUUGUUUAGUCCAUUUAUUGUGUCUACCCUUAGCAAUACUUUGUUACUUUAAAAAUGCUCUUCUGUGUUUUAGUUUAUCUAUUUCUUAAGGCCAAUUUUUGCCUUAUUCUGUUACUAGCCCUUUUCAGACAAUCAUUAAUGAACUUGUGAUGUGGGGGAGCAGGGUUUUAGUGGCAGGUUCAUUGCAUGUGCAAGGCUGGAACAGAUUCAGAGUUUUUGAAUGCAUGGAGAGAACCAUACAGGCGGAAUGCUUGUAUACAUGCAUAAAAGGUGAAGCAGGAACUUCUGCCAUGAUUCCAUCCCCCUCCACCUCUGUGUGCGUUCACUCAGCCUAAUGAUUGUCUGAAAAGGCUAAUACUGCAUAUCUUUCAUCUUUCUGGCUGAAUUUGAAGCAUAUGUUGAUUUUAUAAUACAAAUAGCUGUCUAUUAUGUGUCCUAUGAAAAUGAGCUCAUCUAACAUAAGUAUCCAACCAGCCAUCAGGAAAUUGCCAUCUUCAGACACCUAGGCCUCUUCCAGUUGGUACACGAAGGACAAAAAGGCUCCAUAUGCCAUUACUUGGACUCUGAGCCAUCAAGUCUGCUCCUGCCCACCCCCACUUUCCUCCUAUUGAUUUUAUAGCAUUUUGCUAAAUGCUAUCAUCCAUACAGAUGUCUGCCAUCAUUUUGUUGACAUAGUGAGUCAAUACUUCAUUAAAUGUUACCUUUCAGCUUUACCCUUAAUUGUCUAAAGUAUAUGUGGUGUUUUCAUUAUUUAUGUGACUGCACCAUUAAAUUAUGCAUUCUGGAAUUUAAAAAAAAUAAAAGGUUUUGUUUACAUUU